GACGAACGCUGGCGGCGUGCUUAACACAUGCAAGUCGAACGAUGAAGCCUAGCUUGCUAGGUGGAUUAGUGGCGAACGGGUGAGUAAUACGUGAGUAACCUACCUUUAACUCUGGGAUAAGCCUGGGAAACUGGGUCUAAUACCGGAUACGACCAAUCUCCGCAUGGGGUGUUGGUGGAAGGCGUUAUGUAGUGGUUAUAGAUGGGCUCACGGCCUAUCAGCUUGUUGGUGAGGUAACGGCUCACCAAGGCGACGACGGGUAGCCGGCCUGAGAGGGUGACCGGCCACACUGGGACUGAGACACGGCCCAGACUCCUACGGGAGGCAGCAGUGGGGAAUAUUGCACAAUGGGCGCAAGCCUGAUGCAGCGACGCCGCGUGAGGGAUGACGGCCUUCGGGUUGUAAACCUCUGUUAGCAGGGAAGAAGAGAGAUUGACGGUACCUGCAGAGAAAGCGCCGGCUAACUACGUGCCAGCAGCCGCGGUAAUACGUAGGGCGCGAGCGUUGUCCGGAAUUAUUGGGCGUAAAGAGCUUGUAGGCGGUUUGUCGCGUCUGCUGUGAAGGCCGGGGCUUAACCCCGUGUAUUGCAGUGGGUACGGGCAGACUAGAGUGCAGUAGGGGAGACUGGAAUUCCUGGUGUAGCGGUGGAAUGCGCAGAUAUCAGGAGGAACACCGAUGGCGAAGGCAGGUCUCUGGGCUGUAACUGACGCUGAGAAGCGAAAGCAUGGGGAGCGAACAGGAUUAGAUACCCUGGUAGUCCAUGCCGUAAACGUUGGGCACUAGGUGUGGGGGACAUUCCACGUUUUCCGCGCCGUAGCUAACGCAUUAAGUGCCCCGCCUGGGGAGUACGGCCGCAAGGCUAAAACUCAAAGAAAUUGACGGGGGCCCGCACAAGCGGCGGAGCAUGCGGAUUAAUUCGAUGCAACGCGAAGAACCUUACCAAGGCUUGACAUAUACUGGACCGCAUCAGAGAUGGUGUUUCCCUUCGGGGCUGGUAUACAGGUGGUGCAUGGUUGUCGUCAGCUCGUGUCGUGAGAUGUUGGGUUAAGUCCCGCAACGAGCGCAACCCUCGUUCUAUGUUGCCAGCACGUUAUGGUGGGGACUCAUAGGAGACUGCCGGGGUCAACUCGGAGGAAGGUGGGGAUGACGUCAAAUCAUCAUGCCCCUUAUGUCUUGGGCUUCACGCAUGCUACAAUGGCCGGUACAGAGGGUUGCGAUACUGUGAGGUGGAGCUAAUCCCUAAAAGCCGGUCUCAGUUCGGAUUGGGGUCUGCAACUCGACCCCAUGAAGUCGGAGUCGCUAGUAAUCGCAGAUCAGCAACGCUGCGGUGAAUACGUUCCCGGGCCU
This 1347-nucleotide ribosomal RNA is filed under the name uncultured bacterium. Its description in RNAcentral is "bacterial SSU rRNA". It matches the Rfam family "Bacterial small subunit ribosomal RNA", at positions 28 to 1381 of the family's 1533-position model. The record is from RNAcentral.